AUUGAACGCUGGCGGCAGGCCUAACACAUGCAAGUCGAGCGGAUGAAGGGAGCUUGCUCCUGGAUUCAGCGGCGGACGGGUGAGUAAUGCCUAGGAAUCUGCCUGGUAGUGGGGGAUAACGUCCGGAAACGGGCGCUAAUACCGCAUACGUCCUGAGGGAGAAAGUGGGGGAUCUUCGGACCUCACGCUAUCAGAUGAGCCUAGGUCGGAUUAGCUAGUUGGUGGGGUAAAGGCCUACCAAGGCGACGAUCCGUAACUGGUCUGAGAGGAUGAUCAGUCACACUGGAACUGAGACACGGUCCAGACUCCCACGGGAGGCCGCAGUGGGGAAUAUUGGACAAUGGGCGAAAGCCUGAUCCAGCCAUGCCGCGUGUGUGAAGAAGGUCUUCGGAUUGUAAAGCACUUUAAGUUGGGAGGAAGGGCAGUAAGUUAAUACCUUGCUGUUUUGACGUUACCAACAGAAUAAGCACCGGCUAACUUCGUG
RNAcentral lists this ribosomal RNA (484 nucleotides) under uncultured bacterium. Its description in RNAcentral is "partial 16S ribosomal RNA". It matches the Rfam family "Bacterial small subunit ribosomal RNA", at positions 30 to 507 of the family's 1533-position model. The record is from RNAcentral.